This 381-nucleotide ribosomal RNA is filed under the name uncultured bacterium. RNAcentral describes it as "bacterial SSU rRNA". It matches the Rfam family "Bacterial small subunit ribosomal RNA", at positions 30 to 410 of the family's 1533-position model. The record is from RNAcentral.
AUUGAACGCUGGCGGCAUGCCUUACACAUGCAAGUCGAACGGCAGCACGGAGCUUGCUCUGGUGGCGAGUGGCGAACGGGUGAGUAAUAUAUCGGAACGUACCCAAGAGUGGGGGAUAACGUAGCGAAAGUUACGCUAAUACCGCAUACGAUCUAAGGAUGAAAGCAGGGGACCUUCGGGCCGUUGUGCUCCUGGAGCGGCCGAUAUCUGAUUAGCUAGUUGGUGAGGUAAAGGCUCACCAAGGCAUCGAUCAGUAGCUGGUCUGAGAGGACGACCAGCCACACUGGAACUGAGACACGGUCCAGACUCCUACGGGAGGCAGCAGUGGGGAAUUUUGGACAAUGGGGGCAACCCUGAUCCAGCAAUGCCGCGUGAGUGAAG